This 83-nucleotide non-coding RNA is filed under the name unclassified sequences. RNAcentral describes it as "L31-Actinobacteria ribosomal protein leader". It matches the Rfam family "L31-Actinobacteria ribosomal protein leader". The record is from RNAcentral.
AAGGUUCCGGUUCACGCCUGAGCCACCGCCCUGGGCCAGAAACGUGGCGAGUGCGGUCAAGCGAUGACGGCGACCCGGCGACC